This 73-nucleotide transfer RNA is filed under the name Bos taurus (domestic cattle). Its description in RNAcentral is "tRNA-Trp (CCA) (tRNA-Trp-CCA-28-1)". It matches the Rfam family "tRNA". From Rfam's summary of the family: Transfer RNA (tRNA) molecules are approximately 80 nucleotides in length. Their secondary structure includes four short double-helical elements and three loops (D, anti-codon, and T loops). Further hydrogen bonds mediate the characteristic L-shaped molecular structure. tRNAs have two regions of fundamental functional importance: the anti-codon, which is responsible for specific mRNA codon recognition, and the 3' end, to which the tRNAs corresponding amino acid is attached (by aminoacyl-tRNA synthetases). tRNAs cope with the degeneracy of the genetic code in two manners: having more than one tRNA (with a specific anti-codon) for a particular amino acid; and 'wobble' base-pairing, i.e. permitting non-standard base-pairing at the 3rd anti-codon position. Lineage: Eukaryota; Metazoa; Chordata; Mammalia; Artiodactyla; Bovidae. RNAcentral also lists the same sequence under 3 other names. The record is from Rfam by way of RNAcentral.
UCCCUGGUGGUCCAGUGGCUAGGAUUUUGUGCUUCCAGUGCAGGAAGCCCAGGUUCAAUCCCUGGUCAGGGAA